CCUUAUCAGAACACUUUGCAUGUUUUUGUAUACUUGUCCCCUUUGUGUAUUGCUGCUAAUCUUUCUCUUUCUAGGUUCUGUUGGUUGCAUGCAGAUUGUGCCAGAUGAUUUAUCUGUCUAUGGUCUAAGCAUGGGCUCUGUGCUAAUAUGCAAUUUGUGCUCUUUUUUCCCUCAGGUCAACAGCCGACAGGGUCCUUCCACAACCACAUACUUGUGCCAGUAAAAGCCACAGCUUUUCUCCUCCAAUCCAAGAAGCCUGGACUGCAGUCACCAUCUCAACACACCAACCAAGAGAAAGGCGGAUGGCUCAAUUCAAUAUGGAAAAUUGCACAAUAAAAGUUCCAGGACAUGAAGGCUGCAUACUGUGAACGUCAACCUUCAGGGCACCGUCCUGCGCAGAAGACUUUCUACCCUAAGAGGGAUGGCUGACCGCAGACACUCACAACCAGCACAGACGCCUCCAACCUCAAACCAGGCCCUUCACAGUUGCUGCACUUACCCACCUUCCCAGAGUUUUUGUGUGGUAAUGACAACUGUAAAUAUAGUAUAAAGUAAUGUAUCUAGUGUCAUGUGUAAUACAUUGUUUAAAUUGUCCAUACAUUUCAAUGACAGUAAAUAUUGGUGGACACAAUUUGACUGUGUGGCUUUUUUUAAAAUUCAUUCUCUGACUGAAAAUGCAUGGUUACAUAAUUUAUAUAUUCCACAAGACCACAAUCAGAAGAACAUUUGACAGGUUGCAUUUAUUUUCUAUGUAUGAAAAAAACAAUGGUAACAAGACAAACGUGGUUCCAAACCAAAAAGGUGAGAUGUACAGAUGAAUGCUCCUACAGAUAAUGAAAAAUAAUAAAAGUCUGCACACUGCCGGUUUGUGUGUUUUAUACCGUACUCUGUAUAAACCUUUUAUAUUGCUCUAGUGGAGCAGGGUAACCCUGGCUAAUCCUGGGUAUUGUACUGUGUAUUACAAGGUCAGCCCUGUUCAAGUGCCCCAUACUGUCUGCAGGCUGCAUGCCUGAAGAGACCGUUUCUCUCACCUGGUCCUACAUCAGCCCAAAGUCUUAUCAAAACUGAGAACACCACAGCAUUUCCUUUCAAUGUUCAUGGGCAUCUCCUUACAGAUUGCGCAGAGGCGCCAGGUUGGUUGUGCUACUGGGCUGUGACUGAGGACCAGAUGUCAUGUGCCAGGUCGAACAUCAAACUGGGGUCACGGGUCAGGGCACGCUGCAGUAACCGAUGGGAUUGCUUCAAAUUCAAUGAUUGAAUCAAGGCCUGCAAAGCAAUAAAUACAUUUUAUGUAGUGCAUUUUCUAUUUGAUGAUGGGGACU
This is a long non-coding RNA of Engraulis encrasicolus (European anchovy), 1322 nucleotides long. RefSeq lists it as uncharacterized. The record is from RefSeq and is a predicted model, not a curated record. NCBI's taxonomy places the organism in Eukaryota, Metazoa, Chordata, Actinopteri, Clupeiformes, Engraulidae. The transcript has 3 exons.